ACGCUCGACACCUACGGGAGACAGCAGUGGGGAAUAUUGCACAAUGGGGGAAACCCUGAUGCAGCGACGCCGCGUGAGCGAAGAAGUAUUUCGGUAUGUAAAGCUCUAUCAGCAGGGAAGAAAACUGACGGUACCUGACUAAGAAGCCACCGGACUAAAUACGUGCCAGUAGCCGCGGUAAUCUGAGGCGGGCGUGGCGAAGGC
RNAcentral lists this ribosomal RNA (204 nucleotides) under uncultured bacterium. Its description in RNAcentral is "partial 16S ribosomal RNA". It matches the Rfam family "Bacterial small subunit ribosomal RNA", at positions 328 to 538 of the family's 1533-position model. The record is from RNAcentral.